GACGAACCGUGCGAACGUUGUUCGGAAUCACUGGGCUUAAAGGGCGCGUAGGCGGGGAGGUAAGUCAGGGGUGAAAGCCCACGGCCCAACCGUGGAAGUGCCUUUGAUACUGCCUGUCUCGAGGGAGGUAGGGGCGUGCGGAACUUCCGGUGGAGCGGUGAAAUGCGUAGAUAUCGGAAGGAACACCGGUGGCGAAAGCGGCGCGCUGGACCUCUUCUGACGCUGAGGCGCGAAAGCCAGGGGAGCGAACGGG
Molecule: ribosomal RNA, 253 nt
Filed under: uncultured bacterium
Lineage: Bacteria
Description: partial 16S ribosomal RNA
Rfam family: Bacterial small subunit ribosomal RNA
Source: RNAcentral